Molecule: ribosomal RNA, 508 nt
Filed under: uncultured bacterium
Lineage: Bacteria
Description: partial 16S ribosomal RNA
Rfam family: Bacterial small subunit ribosomal RNA
Source: RNAcentral
GAUGAACGCUAGCUACAGGCUUAACACAUGCAAGUCGAGGGGAAACGAUAGAGAAAGCUUGCUUUUUCUAGGCGUCGACCGGCGCACGGGUGAGUAACGCGUAUCCAACCUGCCCAUCACUUGGGGAUAACCUUGCGAAAGUAAGACUAAUACCCAAUGACGUCUCUAGAAGACAUCUGGAAGAGAUUACAGAUUUAUCGGUGAUGGAUGGGGAUGCGUCUGAUUAGCUUGUUGGCGGGGUAACGAACCACCCAGGCGACGAUCAGUAGGGGUUCUGCGAGGAAGGUCCCCCACAUUGGAACUGAGACACGGUCCAAACUCCUACGGGAGGCAGCAGUGAGGAAUAUUGGUCAAUGGACGAGAGUCUGAACCAGCCAAGUAGCGUGCAGGAUGACGGCCCUAUGGGUUGUAAACUGCUUUUAUAAGGGAAUAAAGUGAGUCUCGUGAGACUUUUUGCAUGUACCUUAUGAAUAAGGACCGGCUAAUUCCGUGCCAGCAGCCGCAGUAA